CAAUAGCGUAUAUUAAAGUUGUUGCAGUUAAAAAGCUCGUAGUUGGAUUUCUGGUCGGAAGCUCCUGUCCUCUGAUGAGCGUACAAGUGCGUCCUACCAUCCUUCUGUUAACCUUUAAGGCUUUCGCGGCUUUCUAGGGGCUCAGAUAUUUUACCUUGAGAAAAUUAGAGUGUUUCAGGCAGGCUAGCGCCGGAAUACAUUAGCAUGGAAUAAUGGAAUAGGACUUUUGCCUCUUCUGUUGGUCAUGAGGCUCGAGUAAUGAUUAAUAGGGAUAGUUGGGGGCAUUAGUACUUAACUGUCAGAGGUGAAAUUCUCGGAUUUGUUAAAGACUAACUUAUGCGAAGGCAUUUGCCAAGGAUGUUUUCAUUAA
This 370-nucleotide ribosomal RNA is filed under the name uncultured eukaryote. Its description in RNAcentral is "partial 18S ribosomal RNA". It matches the Rfam family "Eukaryotic small subunit ribosomal RNA", at positions 592 to 976 of the family's 1831-position model. The record is from RNAcentral.